GGAGCCGUGGGGGCUGAGCUGUCCCGCUACCCACGGGUUGACCUUCCCGAACGCCGGGUCCCGUGACGUCACCUCGCCGUGACGCGCACGCUGUAGGAAAACUAACAAUUAAAAGGAUUUACAAUAUAUGUUAUGACUUUUUACUGGAGCCUUGAGUGACAGGAAAAGCCAUAGACUGAACUUCCAAGCCGCCUGCACUGUGUUCCUGCUCUCUGAUGUGACCCUUAUGAGGGAGCUCCUGGUAUCGCCUUUCAACUAGCACGCUGAGACCUGCCCUGUCCCUCGGAACUUUGCCGCUAUAACCUCAUUUGCAUUUAUACUGACCAGUCAGAGCAGUUCCAUAACGACUAAACAGAAUGCGCAAAGCGGACCAAUCAGGACAGUGGUAUUUGGACCAAUGGGAACUAUGCUGUUUGGAUUCCUCAUCGGCAUAGAAACGAACCAAUCCUGAACCAGGGUAGGAACUUCCCUAUAAAAAGCGUCCUCCCCUUUGUCUUUGUGGAACACACCUUUGGCUUUCUCCGGAGGCUGCGUUUCCCCAGUUUGCAUAUUGUUCACCUUUUUACCGCAACCCAGAUUGGGGAUUCCUGUUGGAUCGGUAGCAGUGACCUUUAGUUGACAGAGGGAAGUUACUAUUCAAGUCAAACACAUCACAAUACAGAAUUCUUUAUCAGUACCACCAGAAGA
This is a long non-coding RNA of Pteronotus mesoamericanus, 687 nucleotides long. RefSeq lists it as uncharacterized. NCBI's taxonomy places the organism in Eukaryota, Metazoa, Chordata, Mammalia, Chiroptera, Mormoopidae. The transcript is spliced from 4 exons. The record is from RefSeq and is a predicted model, not a curated record.